Molecule: RNA transcript, 892 nt
Organism: Octodon degus (degu)
Lineage: Eukaryota; Metazoa; Chordata; Mammalia; Rodentia; Octodontidae
Gene name: proteasome maturation protein pseudogene
Exons: 2
Source: RefSeq, a predicted model, not a curated record
AUGAAUGCCAGGGGACUUGGAUCUCAGCUAAAGGACAGUACUCCAGUGACUGAACUUUCAGCAAGUGGGCCUUUUGUUGAACGACAUGAUCUUCUUCGGAAAGGUUUUCCAUGUGUGAAACAUGAACUAUUAGCAAGUCACCCUCUUGAAGUAUCAGAAAAAAAUUUCCAGCUCGACCAAGAUAAAAUGAUUCCUUUCACACUGAGAAACACCCAGGGUCUCUUUUGCUCCUCUCAAAUUACAAAUGGAAUUCAAAGCAGCACAGCAGGUUCAGCGUCUUCCAUUUCUUUCUAGCUCAAACCUUUCACUGGAUAUUUUGAGGGGUAAUGAUGAGACUAUUGGAUUUGCAGAUAUUCUCAACGAUCCACUCCGAAGUGAGCUCAUGGGGGAACCACACUUGAUGGUGGAAUAUAAGCUUGGUUUACUCUGUAAGAUCAAAGGCUGCUGGGAUUCCAUCCAUGUGGUAGAAGUGCAGGAGAAGUCCAGUGGCCGCAACGCCCACUACAAGCUGACCUCCACAGUGAUGCUCUGGCUGCAAACCAACAAGUCUGGCUCGGGCACCAUGAACCUCGGCGGCAGCCUCACCAGACAGAUGGAGAAGGAUGAAACUGUGAGUGACUGCUCCCCACACAUAGCCAACAUCGGGCGCCUGGUGGAGGACAUGGAAAAUAAAAUCAGAAGUACGCUGAAUGAGAUCUACUUUGGAAAGACAAAGGACAUCGUCAAUGGGCUGAGGUCUGUGCAGACUUUCGCAGACAAAUCAAAACAAGAAGCUCUCAAGAACGACCUGGUGGAGGCUUUGAAGAGAAAGCAGCAAUGUUAAACCUCUGCUUUGCGCUAAACAGCCACGCCAUGCCCUCAUUAGGUUCCUUUCUUAGAAAACUCAUUUUCU